This 1173-nucleotide ribosomal RNA is filed under the name Staphylococcus haemolyticus. RNAcentral describes it as "bacterial SSU rRNA". It matches the Rfam family "Bacterial small subunit ribosomal RNA", at positions 338 to 1533 of the family's 1533-position model. Lineage: Bacteria; Bacillati; Bacillota; Bacilli; Caryophanales; Staphylococcaceae. The record is from RNAcentral.
CCUACGGGAGGCAGCAGUGGGGAAUUUUGCACAAUGGGGGAAACCCUGAUGCAGCGACGCCGCGUGAUUUAGAAGGCCUUCGGGUUGUAAAAAUCUUUUUUAUGGGAUGAAAAUGACAGUACCAUAAGAAUAAGGUCCGGCUAAAUACGUGCCAGCAGCCGCGGUAAUACGUAUGGACCGAGCGUUGUCCGGAAUCAUUGGGCGUAAAGGGUACGUAGGCGGCCUAGUAAGUUAGAAGUGAAAUAAUAUAGCUCAACUAUAUAAAGCUUUUAAAACUGUUAGGCUUGAGAGAUGAAAGGGAAAGUGGAAUUCCUAGUGUAGCGGUGAAAUGCGCAGAUAUUAGGAAGAAUACCGGUGGCGAAGGCGACUUUCUGGUCAUCAUCUGACGCUGAGGUACGAAAGCGUGGGUAGCAAACAGGAUUAGAUACCCUGGUAGUCCACGCUGUAAACGAUGAGUGUUAGGUUCUUGGAAUAAUCUGGGAGCCGCAGCUAACGCAUUAAACACUCCGCCUGGGGAGUACGCACGCAAGUGUGAAACUCAAAGGAAUUGACGGGGACCCGCACAAGCAGCGGAGCAUGUGGUUUAAUUCGACGCAACGCGAAGAACCUUACCAAGUCUUGACAUAAUACGGAGGGAGUUAGAGAUAAUUCCUUAUCACUUCGGUGAGCUGUAUUACAGGUGGUGCAUGGUUGUCGUCAGCUCGUGUCGUGAGAUGUUGGGUUAAGUCCCAUAACGAGCGCAACCCCUAUCGUUAGUUACCAUCAUUAAGUUGGGGACUCUAGCGAUACUGCCGGUGAUAAACCGGAGGAAGGUGGGGACGACGUCAAAUCAUCAUGCCCUUUAUGACUUGGGCUACACACGUGCUACAAUGGCAGAUACAGAGGGCAGCGAAAGAGCGAUCUGAAGCGAAACUCACAAAGUCUGUCCCAGUUCGGAUUGUACUCUGCAACUCGAGUACAUGAAGUUGGAGUUGCUAGUAAUCGCGAAUCAGAAUGUCGCGGUGAAUGCGUUCCCGGGUCUUGUACACACCGCCCGUCACACCAUGGGAGUUGGCAAUACCCGAAGCCUGUGAGCGAACCAAUUGGACGCAGCAGUCGAAGGUAGGGUCAGUAACUGGGGUGAAGUCGUAACAAGGUAGCCGUAUCGGAAGGUGCGGCUGGAUCACCUCCUUU